GUGGGGAAUAUUGGACAAUGGGCGAAAGCCUGAUCCAGCCAUGCCGCGUGUGUGAAGAAGGUCUUCGGAUUGUAAAGCACUUUAAGUUGGGAGGAAGGGCAGUAAGUUAAUACCUUGCUGUUUUGACGUUACCAACAGAAUAAGCACCGGCUAACUUCGUGCCAGCAGCCGCGGUAAUACGAAGGGUGCAAGCGUUACUCGGAAUUACUGGGCGUAAAGCGUGCGUAGGUGGUUCGUUAAGUCUGCCGUGAAAGCCCCGGGCUCAACCUGGGAAUGGCGGUGGAUACUGGCGGGCUAGAGUACGGUAGAGGGUAGUGGAAUUUCCUGUGUAGCGGUGAAAUGCGUAGAUAUAGGAAGGAACACCAGUGGCGAAGGCGACUACCUGGACUGAUACUGACACUGAGGUGCGAAAGCGUGGGGAGCAAACAGGAUUAGAAACCCGGGUAGUCC
This 450-nucleotide ribosomal RNA is filed under the name uncultured bacterium. Its description in RNAcentral is "bacterial SSU rRNA". It matches the Rfam family "Bacterial small subunit ribosomal RNA", at positions 354 to 796 of the family's 1533-position model. The record is from RNAcentral.